UCAUUGGUCUCAGCUGAACCUUUUGAUAUUGUGGGAUUCCUGGGGGUAAAUUCCUGCGUGACAGGUGAGGCCACAUAACAGCACUCCUGGGCUGAAACGCUGAGAUCAAGACUGAAAGGCAAACUGUCCGCAAUAUCUAUUCCUUAAUUUCCCUUCUGGAAACAUCUCUUCCCAGAACUACCUUCCUACUCUGACCAUUCUCUCCCUCACUGAGUAAACCGGAAACCCACUUUAACCCACUUGUUAUCCCUCACAGCUAUGGAGGGAUAACUUGGAAAUAGCAAAAUCAACUCACAAGUUCAGGUGUUAACAGGCAAGGAAGCCCCUCCUAGUUUUCUUCCCUCUCAAAAGACAUUUGCAUUUAACAACUAUCCGGGAUGAACUGGAGGGGAUUUUACACUCUGAGGCAAGACCAGAGCAGUGCAGAGCUGGGUGGGGAGUUGCCAGUGUUUCUGGAGUCAUUCAGGCUCAGCUUGGCAGUCUUGGGAAGAACACGGGUCCCCUCUGGGCCUCUUGCCGGCUCUCACAGGCCAGCAGGAAGAAACGGCCUUUGGCCGAUGCUGAUGGAGUUAGCGGAGGAGCAGAAAGGAGGCGCCUUCUGAAGCACAGCCUUCCUGUUACACAGCAAAUCACCUUUGGGAUGUUCCUGAUGUUUCAUAUGCAUUACUUCAGGGAAACCUCAGAAAAGUCCCUACUGAGCACCAGACAACAGGAAAGAAUGUUAUUAUUACCAGCACGGAAAAGAACAGCUACUUGACAGAAGAGACAACCCCAACCAUCCUCACUGUAAGAAGAGUGUUACUUCUCUGUAAGAAGCCGCCUCCCUGGCAGCUGCCAUUAUUACAGGUGCCUCGCCCUCACCUAAACUCCAAAGACAACCACAUAUUUGAGCACUAAUUAUUUGUGAGAGGCUGCAAAAGAGAGGAGAAUAAUGUGUCAUUUUUUAAUAGAGAGCUGCAGGGCUGCAUAGUAGCGAUGAGAAGACAAGGGGCUUGUCUUGGGUGACUGAACAAAUUCUAGGGCAGCCACGGCUGCACCCCUGGGGGCAGAGGAGUGAUGGUCACUGGGGGCCACUCGGGCAUCCCUGGCAUUACUGAUGGGAGAGGCAAUGGUGUGCAUUGGUGCGUGCGCACACCCUGGCCCCGGGGAUACUGAGGCAAAGACUAGACAUAGGCCCUGGGGAGGUCAAAUGUUACAUUUGAUAGGAGCAAACACUCUAGACGUGGAGAAAAGGGAUAACAGCAAAGAACGGCAGCUUAAAAAUGAUUUUUAAAGUCUAAUACAGGACUAGGGUGAAUUAGCGAACCAUGUAAGUGCCAGACGGGCUACUGGCUCCCACAGGAUAUCUCCCCAGGCAACGGCUCACCUUGAAAAUGAAAGCAGCAGCAAGCCAAAAUAGAUACAGAAGACUAACAGUCUGUUAUAUUUAUUUCUAAUAUUGAUUGAAAAAAAUCAAUUUAUAUUCUAUGUGCCAGACACUUAAUAUACAUCAUCUCAAAUAAUCCUACAGGAAUCCUGUAAGAGAGAUAUCAUCCCUAUUCUACAGCUAAAAAAAAAUUGUGGCAGAAAGGUUAAGUGACUCACCCAAUGUCACCCAACGAGUAUAUGCACAUUUCAGGCCUGACAGAGCUUCAUGACAAAGGGCCUGAGCAUCUACUGGGAACAUUCUGAUUUUAUAAGUGCUUUUUACCAUAGACCAGGGACCAGCAAACGCUUUCUCAGAGGGACAAAUGGUAAGUAUUUUACACUUUGUGGGCCAUAGAAUCCCUGUUGCACACCCCCCCCCCCAACCCGUUAAUGCACCAAGACAGCCAUCGACACUACGUAAACAAAUGAGCAUGGCUGUUCUCCCAUAAAACCAGAGGCCAGUCUGCCAACUCCUGUUCUAGAAUGAGGGUCGACAAACUGCAGCCCUGGACCAGGUCCAGCCCACCAUGGAUUUUUGUAAACAAUGCUUUAUUCGUUUAUGAUCUAGAUCUAGGCUGUCAUCUAGACCGUUUCUAGAUAGUUGAAGGGUAACUCAAGGAGCUAAAAUAAUGCCCCAGUUUCACAGAAACAUUCUCGGGAGCGUCCAGCUCUUUGUUCUAAACUUCCUUAACAAACAGUGUUCUGAUUCCUAAUCUGUGGCCUGUGUGAUCCAGCCCUCCAGUGGGAGAGCCCUGAUACACACCUGCUACCUGACAGGUGACUGACCUUUCACUGCAAAGGAACAGUGACAUUCUACAUCCUCAAUUAAUAAGUCAUCAGUUUCUGGAAGACUCAAUGCCUUUGGGGAGCUGAAAAAACAGAAACAGAGAUUCUUAACCUGAAAGGAUGGGUGGUCAGAGACUGACAAAUCAGUUAAUAUGUUCAUUCUAAUUUUUAGGAAGUGUCUCCUCUGUGCCAGUGGAAAUACAUGUGAACGCCAGACGGAAAAGACUGACUCGUAGCACUUGAGUACUUUAUGUGCAGCAAAUCUAUGUUGUUACUUGUGACACCACAAGACCUGAGCUGAACUGUAACCCACUCUCAAGCAAGCAGACAAGUGGUGUUGCUGUGAUAGCUACUGCAGUAAGAUGAGGACCCUGGCUCAUCUUGUUGAGAGCAGCAGCUACGGGAGCAGAGCCCACGAGCUCUAGGAGGAAGGGACUGUGCUGGCUCAAUGCCCAGAGAGAGCAGGAGCUCCAAGACCUGUUGUCUAUAUUAUUAUGGAUUACCUCCAUGGCUCCUGAUGAACUAGGGUGUGAAUGGCCUGGUCUGACAGUCAGAUUUUUCUAACUCUCAUGUUAUCAGGAUCAAAUGCUCCAUACCUGGACUGUCUGGUAAUCGGAAGCAUCGAUCCCUUUCACGGUAACCUCUCGGAAGACUCGUGGCUCCAGCUCCUCUUUGGUGAGGUCACAGUGAUAAAUGAUACCUAGAAGGAAGCGGAAGUCCUGAUUUAGUCCACAAGCUCACUGGCUGCAAGGGGGCAAGGGCACACAGCACAACUGGAUGCCAUGAAUCACAAGAGAGGAACAUGAGUUGGGGACCUGCUGCCAUGUGAGGGUCACUGUGCCAAGAGUGCUUAUUAGAACAGUCUGCGCAUGGAGUGUUCACCUUUCCUCACUGCCACCACACACAGCGUUUUGACGACCAUCAUCUGUCGUAUACAUUUUAGAAGAUUCCAUAGCAUUCCGUGAGUAUGAGAAGAGGUAAAAACUGUAAGAGUGAAAACUUAACAGGUCUUCCCUAUGCUGGGUCACUUAGGAAUGCAGGUCAAAAAAGAUGGCGAACUUCAUGUAGGGCCACUUCACCUUGAGAGGUGAAUUAAGAUGGAAAACUCAAAUGACUGGCCCCAAGUCAACAACCAGCCAGAAGCCUCCUGAUGGGAACUCUGGGGCUCCUGACACCAGAUACCCACCUGUCCGUGCACACACACGUGGACAGCAGUCAGGGACCAGAGAUGACCAGGUACCAUUUUAGAGCUACUUUAAAAAUUUUUAUUAUCCCAGGAAUUGUGCACAACACAAAUGAAUGAAUGUACACCAAGAAUGCCAGCUUAUUUAAACACUAAUUAAAAAUCCAUUUCCUGAAUUUAAUGCUAUUACACUUUAACACUUAAGAACUAAAUCAAAGAAACAAUAAGACGAGUUGUUACUAUUUGAAAACUGCAGUGGUUUAUGAAACAGAAUUAGUCAUCCAGAGUGGCUGGUGCGGAAACAGCCCUCCCACACAAUACAUUAAACAUACACUGUCAGAUAGAUGAAAAAAUCGAUUUAGCGAUCCCAAUACUUGCUGGAAAACUUGAAACUAAAUGGUACUCCCACAGGGUACAUCUGAAGUGACUGAUCAGGUAUUAAAAUGGUGGCUCUCUUUCUUCUCAAUUCCUCUGUGCAUGUAUUUCAUUAACAGAUGAGAAGGGAUACUCUGUACCCCCAGUGGCAAAGAAUAAUAGUUUACACUCAUUAACAGCAAGGCUGCUGAUCCCUAUGAAUGUCACUGCAAUUCUCAUGCUUACAGACAAAUUAUUUUAAGGUACUAUAAUUGGAAGUAUGAUGAAUAUUGACAGAGAGAAGAUACGUAACAUGACCCAAGUAUUGGCUUUCCUGGUUUAAGUCAUACUUGGGUAUUUAUUAAAAUACAUCUUCAUACAUACAGUACUUCCAAACUACGCUCUGGGCAUACAUUCUAAUGUACCAGAUAUACUGAUUAUUGUCCUUGCCUAGAGGAAUGUAAUCUUGAAGGCAAGGCUAUUUUCAGAUAUAUGUUAAUUUUUGAAUAGCUUCUUGAUCCGUACUUGCUUCCCUUCCUCAAAACACACAAAAAAGUCCAAAUCCUGGAAAAAAAAAAACCCCAGACAUCCAAACAACUAACAAAAAUGAUUGCAGACCGAGCAUGUGCUAUUUGAGCGCCUGCCUCACUCUGGUAUCACUGCAACCUGUACUGCAGUGAAUGAGAAAGCACCUGGCAGCCAGGAUUCCCGCCUCUGACAGUUGCUGGGCCAGUGACCUUAGACAAAUCACCAAAGUAUUAGAAUGCAAAUUCCUUUGUGAAAGACAAUAAAUAGGAAAUGUA
Long non-coding RNA from Felis catus (domestic cat), 4533 nucleotides. RefSeq lists it as uncharacterized. The transcript has 4 exons. NCBI's taxonomy places the organism in Eukaryota, Metazoa, Chordata, Mammalia, Carnivora, Felidae. The record is from RefSeq and is a predicted model, not a curated record.